GGAUGACUCCUAAAAUAUUCCACCGCUUUCCAAUAUAUAGGACCCUGCCCUCUUGUUCAUCAUCUUCUUCAAGCAGCCAUCCAUGGCUUUUUCUGAACGAAAAAUAGGACCGCCCUGACAUCGUCUUCAAUACCACCCAAAAAUGACCCCUUCGUUGGAGCUCCUUCUUCAUUACAAUAACAACAGACCAGAGCUUACACCUUCAGGACCCCUCUCUUCAGCUAGACACAGCGGCUUCUCCACCAGAAAUUGUUGUUCUAUCUUUUUCUACACCCACCAGGCGAACCAGACCCCUGAACUGCCUCCUGAAAUCAAAUGACCUCGUCACUAGCUCCCUGCUGCUAGGGUGACCCCUAUGUGUCUUUUCACAUCUCUUUACUACUCAUAAAUGCACACACAUACAUGGGAGAAGAUCUGGUAAAAACAAAGAGAGAGUAGAAAAUCGUGAAAGCAAAAACAAAGAAUCAUCUUCGUCUAAUGUUUCGAGUUUUCAAACAUGGAGUUCAAUCGAGUUCGAGGUGUCGUCUGCAGUGCUGUUCGUGAUCCUGUUUGAGUUUGAUUGUUGUUUCGAGUUUUGGUUGUAGCGUUUGCUCGAUUCCUGUCCGUGUACUAUUGAAAAUUUCAUCAAAUGAAAGGUUCGAUUUUCAGUUUGUCAUAGUUGUUGAAAUUCUAUUAAUUGGAAAAUAAUUUCAGUUCUUAAGCCUCAUUUUUUCUGCUAGAGUUUUGUUAAUUUGAGUCCAUUUCAAAGCUCGUGUGCGAGAUUCAUUUGGAGCUGACACGCGCGAGAUGCUGGUCAUGUUUUAAGUUUGUGAUUCUUGUUCGGAUUUGCUGUUGUUUCUCGGACAGAUUUUGCGGAUUGGAAAUUCUGCAGUCGGACAUCUUGCCACUGAUUGUAGAGCAGUUGACGAGCUAAAUUCUGUCGCAAUGCAUUCAGCAAUGAAGCUGUUGCUGCUUAGUCGUAAUCAAUAGGGAGUCUUUGAAGGAAUUGCCCUUCAAUCUUGCCAGUAAGCUUAUCUGGAGAGCAUCCACUUGUUUUGUUGAAAUUUUGGAUCACUUAUUCAGCAACAUCUGUGAACUGGAUUUGGUUUUUAACUUCCACAAGGUUAGGUAUUUCUUAUCACGCAUUUGUCGCUACUUAGAGAAGGACUGAUUCUUUCUUAUCAGCAACGUCUGUGAACUGGAUUUGGUACUUUAUUUUGCAUUAUCCCUUAUGUCAUAAUGGUAGUUUUCCAACAAUCUCCUUGUUAAGUGCUACUGAACUUUUGUUAUCAUGUUGGUUCUCCUAUUGAAUUGCAAAUGUGUUGGUCAAUUGCUAGUUGGGUCGUGGGAAUCGGGUUUUUUUAAUAAAGUAUGUAAUAUUAAAAAUGGCUAAUGGAGCGUGAAAUCAUCGUGUUAUGGGUACGGUUCCCGUAACGUAGUUGUGAUACCUAAUUAGUUUUAAAUAUGAAUAUCCGUAGUUCUUUUAAUUGAAUGCAUUUCCUUUGAAAUAAAUUGAGGCAUGCCAUUUAGUUGAAUUUUCAUGGACCUCGCAAAGUUGAAAGUGUGUAAUUGCUUUAGGCACGCUAUUCUAAAAACUACUUUCCUAAACUCGGGUACGCAUUUAUGUGACCCAAAUCCAAAUCUCAACAAUGUUAGAUAAAAUGUGUUGCGGACUGCGGGUGCAUUUAGGUGACGUGGUUCAAGACGCGUUUUGCAUGACGUUGAAAUCUUCCUAAAAAAUAUUAUUAAAUGAAAGCGGUUAUAAAGUUAAAAUUGAACCAUAGGUUAAAACAUAUAUUAAAAUUAGAUAAUAGGCCAAUAAUAACAGUUGAGCGACCGUGCUAGAACCACGGAACCUGGGAAUACCUAACACCUUCUCCCGGGUUAACAGAAUUCCUUACCCGGAUUUCUGUGUUCGCAGACUGUAAAAGAGAGUCAAUCUUUUCCUCGAUUCGGGAUUUGAACCGGUGACUUGGGACACCAUAAAUUAUCCCAAGUGGCGACUUUAAAUUUUAAAUAAAAUAAUUCCGUUUUGAUUGUCACUUUAAGUUGGAAAAAACUCUCUUAAUACCCUUCCAAAGGUAUUAAAUUUCGAGGCGUGAUACGUAGGCAACCCACAUAGGGUCCGGUUUUCCUAGUAAAUCUUAGGUUCAUGGCUUUGCGGGGUCUUAGCCAAAUUUUGUACUUCUAGCCAUCUUUUGGCCAAAUAAGUCAUUUUGCAAAAAUAGCCUAAAUCAUGUCUCGCAUGUUUCCAACAGGAAGGGUUAUUGUCUCACAUAGCGCUCUAGGUCUUUAACCUAUUUGGUUUUAAUUUUCUCAUACAGGCAUGGAUUUACUUAUCGGAGUUUGAGCAUGACAGAGCCCCAGGAUAUCUAGUCAGG
This 2360-nucleotide long non-coding RNA is filed under the name Nicotiana tabacum (common tobacco). RNAcentral describes it as "long non-coding RNA (NTAB_LNC005392)". The record is from RNAcentral. Lineage: Eukaryota; Viridiplantae; Streptophyta; Magnoliopsida; Solanales; Solanaceae.